Acanthosepion pharaonis is the source of this 101-nucleotide non-coding RNA. Lineage: Eukaryota; Metazoa; Mollusca; Cephalopoda; Sepiida; Sepiidae. The record is from the annotation of a GenBank genome assembly.
GCAAUGAAACACCAGCUUUCGUACGAUCAUCGAAGUUAAGCAACGUUCAGACUGGCCAGUAUCUAGAUGGGUGACCGUUUGUGAAUACCGCGUGCCGUAUG